Molecule: non-coding RNA, 64 nt
Organism: Phrynosoma platyrhinos (Desert horned lizard)
Lineage: Eukaryota; Metazoa; Chordata; Lepidosauria; Squamata; Phrynosomatidae
Source: the annotation of a GenBank genome assembly
GGUAUAGUGGCUUGAGCACUGGAUUAUGACUCCAGAGAACAGGGUUCAAAUCUCUGCUUGGCCA